CCUACGGGUGGCAGCAGUGGGGAAUAUUGGACAAUGGGCGAAAGCCUGAUCCAGCCAUGCCGCGUGUGUGAAGAAGGCCUUCGGGUUGUAAAGCACUUUCAGUGGGGAAGAAAGCCUUGGGGCUAAUACCCUCGAGGAAGGACAUCACCCACAGAAGAAGCACCGGCUAACUCCGUGCCAGCAGCCGCGGUAAUACGGAGGGUGCGAGCGUUAAUCGGAAUUACUGGGCGUAAAGCGCGCGUAGGCGGUCUGAUAAGCCGGUUGUGAAAGCCCCGGGCUCAACCUGGGAACGGCAUCCGGAACUGUCCGGCUAGAGUGCAGGAGAGGAAGGUAGAAUUCCCGGUGUAGCGGUGAAAUGCGUAGAGAUCGGGAGGAAUACCAGUGGCGAAGGCGGCCUUCUGGACUGACACUGACGCUGAGGUGCGAAAGCGUGGGUAGCAAACAGGAUUAGAUACCCGGGUAGUC
This 465-nucleotide ribosomal RNA is filed under the name Vreelandella stevensii. Its description in RNAcentral is "partial 16S ribosomal RNA". It matches the Rfam family "Bacterial small subunit ribosomal RNA", at positions 338 to 795 of the family's 1533-position model. The record is from RNAcentral. Lineage: Bacteria; Pseudomonadati; Pseudomonadota; Gammaproteobacteria; Oceanospirillales; Halomonadaceae.